Molecule: non-coding RNA, 5205 nt
Organism: Rattus norvegicus (Norway rat)
Lineage: Eukaryota; Metazoa; Chordata; Mammalia; Rodentia; Muridae
Source: RefSeq, a predicted model, not a curated record
CCAAAAAGAUGUUUAUUGCGAAGCUACAGUCCCAGACUAACCUGGAGGGAUGUUUGAAUUCUGGAAAACCUUAUGGAUAAGCCUCGCAAUUAUGUACUUAGUCAUAACCAGAGGGGAGGAACUUUGAAGGCACUGGAUUGAAGAGACACAAAAGUCAGGAAGUAACCCUUUCGUGGGGACUGCAGAGGCCACAGAGGAGAAACAAAGUCCCUUCACAACCGGGGAAGACGGACCGUACCAUCCCGGGGGUGGGUGGCGGAGUGGGGAAGAGGGUGGUGGAAACUGACAUCCUCGCUCUCAAGGAGCCGGCGAGGACACGGGAUUUCCCGGCUGAAAAGCCUCAGUGUUCGCCUGUCCCAGCACAGCCUCUCCCCCUCCGUGGAGGCCUGAGUACCGCAGCCCGGGGGCGCCCUGCAUCACCACUCUGUGCGCGGGCGGGGCCGUGCUCCCCGGCCUGGAGAUGGAUGGCGUGCCCGAGCCAGCCCAUCUGCGGCCGCGGCUGGUCCGGGAGGAAGCCAUCCCCGGGGAUGAAUGGGGCUUUGUUCGCUGCCAGCCGCGCUCCCCUCGCGGCCCGGCUCGGCACAACGGAGGCAGUAUGCGACAGGCAUGGAAAUGAGCCGCGGGCUCUCCCCUCGCAGCGCCCAGGAAUGCUGGCCAGCCGGAAAGGAGCCCUCGCCGGGGACCCGCUCCCGCGCCUCUGAAACCCCAUUGAGAAGGGCCCUUUGAAGCAAUUAAAGCGCGUUUCACGGCGGCCCGGGAGGGGGCCCUGGCCGGCCAGCUUCUCUUUUUACCCCUCUCUCUGUCCGAUCUUGUUUGUGCACCUUGGUGUGGCGGGUUACCUAGAAACCAGGCCAGAACCCGCUCCCUCUCUUCCAGAGAUUCUGUAACCUCACAAAAGUGUCCCCAUAAACAGAUUGCUUGUCACCAGGGGGCGGGGGUGUGUGCGGGCUGGAACCCAGUUUGGACUUGAUCCAAGUUGACCUGCAAAGCCUGGGUUCCUGCUUUCAAAGGCUUCUUUGCUGGGCUCUACACCCACCUGCCCUGCAGUCAGGUUUAGGCAGACAAGAAACCGCCUCUGGACGAGAAAGUCCUGGGGCUGCGGCUCAGCAUUUUCCAUUUUCUCAGAGGUGGGGUGGGCCGCGUUCAGGUCUAGAAGUGAUGUCACAACCAGCCCUGUAAAGUGAUGUAACCUACACUUGAAGGACUAGGACCCGGCUACUAUUUUGAGACUCUUGAGUUCCUUCCUUCCUCCCUGGAGACAAGUGGAUGACUAUGGAGAACUCACAAAGCCGCUCAGGGUACAGCGGUUUGUUACAGGGAAAAAAAAAUCCUAAGGCUAAGGAACUGACUCCAUGAAAGAGGGAUGAAAUUCUUUCUAAAUUGGUGGUGGGCACCUUAUACAUGCACAUGUGGGAAGUUUGUGAACUGAAGCCCCAGCAACACCCAUAUAAAAAGAUUUUUUUUUUGAGUUCUCCGGUUGAAUUUAUACUGCAUUCCCCUGGGACCGAUAGUUAAAAGUCUGUCUCUCCUCCAGCAGGUGCUUCCUAGAGAAUACGGAUCCUUUUGUUGUAGCUUUGUUUGCUGUGUUUCUGAGACUUGGUUCUUGAAUUUCCUCUGUAGCCAGGAAUGGUGGUAUAUUCCAGAUCCGCUGGCCUCUACCUCCAGAGUGCUGGAGUUAGGCGUGUGUUGCCUUGGCUUUCAUGAUCUCUUGGGUUGUUUGUUUGUUUGUUUGCUUUGUUCGGAAGUGUGGGAAAGGUUCUGUGUUCAGAGUAGAUCCUUAACACUGAUUAUCAGUGCUUAGAAAAUACAGUCUUUGAAUGUGUGAAUAAAAUCCGAACCUUGUUGUUGUUGUUGUUGCUUUGUUUUGUAUAAUUCCAAGUGAGAAGUAGGAAGCACAAGGUGGUUCCUGAUUCCUGAGGAUCCUGCACUAGGAAGACGUUGAGAAGUUUGAAGGGAAGGUUGGGAAACAUUUUUGAGAGCACAAACAUGCCUCAAAUGUUUCCUGAAAUGACCCAGAGGGAGAGUGGGCACUCAGGUGGAAGACUCAUUCUUUCCAGAUUUGGAGGUGGUUAGCUCUGGCUACCGUGAAUCAUGUUUUACGUCAGUAAGGAGUAUACCCCGUCCGUCGUUCAUUCUUUAAGCAUGCCAUGGAGACAGGAUGGUCAGUCAAAGUAAUGGUUAUGCAUGUCAGGAAGCAAAUGAACAUGGGAUGGAAGAGGAGGAGGCCCUACCUCAAGCAUCAUUCCCGGCAUCUCCAGGACAAACUUCCUGCUCAAGUAGCACGAAAUCACUGAUAUCACUGGCAUACUCUGAAGCCUUCAGCAUGGAUCGAGACCCUCACCUUGAACCCAUCUGGAGUCUGUCUACAGGCUGCCAAAAGUUCUUGUCUGGCAGGGAGUCACUGCCAGAGUCUCCUAACAACCAAGGAUCUGGUAACCUAUUAAUGAAAAAUUGUGUCCUAUCUAACUUUAUUUGAAGAUACAAAGAAAAUAAAACUCAUUCUAUAGUUGGGUCACCCCUCGUUCUAUGUUUUAUGAUUUCUCUUAAUAUUAUAAAUCUUCCUUGUAGUUUUAUAGACUUCAAGUUGGUUAAGCACAGAGACUACUUGAGCUUCCUUUUAUGGAGUAUCUACUGAUCUGUCCAAUCUACUGCCUUACCAUUUUCAUGAUGAAACACCAUGACCAAAGCAACUAGGGGAGGAAAGAGUUUAUUUGGCUUACUCUCCCAUAUCACUGUUCAUCAUCAAAGGAAGACAGGACAAGAGCUCAAACAGAUCAGGAACCUGGAGUUGGGGGCUCCAUGGAGGCAUGUAGCUUACUGGCUUGAUUUCCCUGACUUGCUUAGUUUGUGUUCUUGUAGAAUCCAAGACCACCAGCCCAGGUCCUCCCCCAUUCCUCACUAAUCAAGAAAAUGUGCUACAGGCUUGUGUCAGUCCCAUCCUAUGGAGAUAUUUUCUCAAUUGAGGAUUUCCUUUCUCAGGUGAUUUUAGAUUGUGUCAAGUUGACAUAAAACUAGCCAGCACACCUAUAUAAGGCAUACAUCCCACCUACCCAUGCCUUCAGAAGAAUGAGAAUGUUGUCCAGAAAAAACAGCUCUAACCCAACACUAGCAGGAUAGGCUUUGCCAUAAUUUCAUAUCCCAUUGUUUUAAAAAAUAAGGACCCAGUCCUCCUAGUUCUUAACACUGACCAUUGUAGUGGCGCAACCAUUUUCUAAGUCCAUUCCUCUACUACAUUAUUAUGUGUUAUACUGCCAAUAAACAUCUAGUUUAGUUAUCUUAGAUUCUACUACUUCAAGCCAUUGCCAAGAGAACUUCUCUGGUUUCCCAAGAAAAAGUACAUCUUUGAGUUGAUCUUCCAGGAUCCUGGUCAUCCUGGGAGUGAACCAACUGUAGAAUGAAUUUUAUUUUCUUGGUAUCUUCAAAUAAAGUUAGAUAGGACACAAUUUUUCAUUAAUAGGUUACCAGAUCCUUGGUUGUUAGGAGACUCUGGCAGUGACUCCCUGCCAGACAAGAACUUUUGGCAGCCUGUAGACAGACUCCAGAUGGGUUCAAGGUGAGGGUCUCGAUCCAUGCUGAAGGCUUCAGAGUAUGCCAGUGAUAUCAGUGAUUUCUGAAGAGAGCAACACAGACUUUGAAGUGAAGUAGUACAACUUAGAAACAAGUUUGAAGGGGUUGGGGAUUUAGCUCAGUAGUAGAGCACUUGCCUAGCAAGCACAAGGCCCUGGGUUCGAUCCUCAGCUCUAAAAAAAAAAAAAAAGAAAGAAACAAGUUUGAAAAGGCCACAUGUGAUGUCUUGCCUGGAUAAAACAAGUCAUUGGUGGACAAAUACAGAGAACACUAUGCUAUGGGAUCCACAAUAACCCCAUUCCUGAAGGAAGGCUUAGCCUCUGCUUUUGGGGGGCACUCUGCUCCUAUAAUCCUAGAGUGGGGAGACAGGUAGGAGGUACCCAGUAAUUCACUGGCCACCCAGUCUAGGUAGUCAGUGAGCUCUAGGAUCAGUGAGAGACCCUGGGUCAAAAAAUUGGAGAACAAUCAAGGAAGCUACUCAGUGCUGACCUCUGGCCUGGCUGUGGUGUGUUGCUUGUAAAGGUCUGCUUCAACCUGUGGGAGUCCCGACUUCUCUUUCAAGUUCCUGAUCUCAUCCAUAGAAUGAAUUCCAUGUCAAAUCUCUAUUUCCAAUUUCCCUCUCUGCCAUUUGCAUCCAGGGAGAUCAUGUUUCAGUCGGGAAACCUUCAUCUUCACUAUCAGUAAUAAUCUAGCUGUAUGUGACCCUAGUGGGAGUGUCUUGGAGGCCCAAAGUUUUGCUUGUGAAGAGCUAUGUCAGGCUUGGGAAAACCAUCAGGGCAGUAGACAGUUCAGGGCCUAGAAGGGAGAAUGUCAGCCAGACUAUAACAGGAAAGCAUGUGGGUAGAUACACCCAGGGGCCUCUGAGAAUUCUUUUCAUUGAAGACUUUGGAUGGAAUUCCACACUUACCAAGUGUCAACUAUGUGACCUGUGACCUUGGAUAUGUAACAACAUGAUUACUCUGAGAUCUAAAUUUCCUUCUUCCUUCCCUUCCCCUCCUCCCUCCCUCCCUCCCUCCCUUCCUUCCUUCCUUCCUUCCUUCCUUCCUUCCUUCCCUUUCUGUUUCUUUCUUUCUUUUGCUCUUUCUUUUCUCCUCCUUGUCUUCAUCCUUCUCCUCCCCCUUCUGCUCUCACCUCCUCCUCCCCAUCUGCCCCCACUUCCCCCUCUUCCUCUUUGUUCUUCCUUAAGCCAGGGAUGUGGAAAACUACGUGAUUCAAAUAAUUUCUGGUGAUGGUAACCAUCUGUCUUGAUUGCUUCUUUAGUUACAUUUGUAAGAUACAACACCAUGCAAUACUUUUCAGGGGUGAAAGUAAGGUUUGGGAAGGUAGAAAUAUGUGCACAGAGCUUAAUAUACUGUAUGUGGGAUGUUGUUUAGUGCAGAAAGCUACUACUGACUCAAAGCUGAUACAGCUACUGGACAUGUUACUGCCAGCUAGGUUCUAUCUAGCCGAGGGUUACCUGGCUUUGGGUGGUUUUACAGAAUUGUAAAGUUUUAAAAUUAAAUGUCAAAAAUUUAAAAUCCAAAUCAGGCUCUCUCUCUCUCUCUCUCUCUCUUUCUCUCUCUCUCUCUCUCUCUCUCUCUCUCUCUCUCACACACACACACACACACACACACACACACACACACACACACACACACA